This 536-nucleotide ribosomal RNA is filed under the name uncultured crenarchaeote. Its description in RNAcentral is "bacterial SSU rRNA". It matches the Rfam family "Archaeal small subunit ribosomal RNA", at positions 327 to 865 of the family's 1478-position model. Lineage: Archaea; Thermoproteati; Thermoproteota. The record is from RNAcentral.
GGGGUGCAGCAGGCGCGAAAACUGUGCAAUAAGCGAAAGCUUGACAGGGUUAUUGUGAGUGAUUUCCGUUAAGGAAAUCUUUUGGCACCUUUAAAAAUGGUGCAGAAUAAGGGGUGGGCAAGUUUGGUGUCAGCCGCCGCGGUAAUACCAGCACCCCGAGUUGUCGGGACGAUUAUUGGGCCUAAAGCAUCCGUAGCCUGUUCUGCAAGUCCUCCGUUAAAUCCACCUGCUCAAAGGAUGGGUUGCGGAGGAUACCGCAGAGCUAGGAGGCGGGAGAGGCAAACGGUACUCAGUAGGUAGGGGUAAAAUCCAUUGAUAUCAUGAAGACCACCAGUGGGGAAGGCGGUUCGCCAGAACGCGCUUGACGGUGAGGGAUGAAAGCUGGGGGAGCAAACCGGAUUAGAUACCCGGGUAGUCCCAGCCGUAAACGAUGCAGACUCGGUGAUGGGUUGGCCUUAAGCCAACCCAGUGCCGCAGGGAAGCCGUUAAGUCUGCCGCCUGGGGAGUACGGUCGCAAGACUGAAACUUAAAGGAAU